UACAGAGGUCUCAAGCGUUGUUCGGAUUCAUUGGGCGUAAAGGGUGCGUAGGCGGCGCGGUAAGUCGGGUGUGAAAUCUCGGGGCUUAACUCCGAAACUGCAUUCGAUACUGCCGUGCUUGAGGACUGGAGAGGAGACUGGAAUUUACGGUGUAGCGGUGAAAUGCGUAGAUAUCUGGAGGAACACCGGUGGCGAAGGCGGCAUCCUGGACCGGCAUUGACGCUGAGGCGCGAAAGCCAGGGGAGCAAACGGG
This 253-nucleotide ribosomal RNA is filed under the name uncultured bacterium. RNAcentral describes it as "partial 16S ribosomal RNA". It matches the Rfam family "Bacterial small subunit ribosomal RNA", at positions 524 to 776 of the family's 1533-position model. The record is from RNAcentral.